CUUAAGCUGGAUUGGUUCUAGGAAAACACUCUGGAAAGAGUGGCCAUAGAAGGUGACAGCCCUGUAUCUGAAAGGGCCAUUCCAGUGAAGACGAGUAGGGCGGGGCACGUGAAACCCUGUCUGAACAUGGGGGGACCAUCCUCCAAGGCUAAAUACUACUGACCGACCGAUAGUGAACCAGUACCGUGAGGGAAAGGCGAAAAGAACCCCGGAGAGGGGAGUGAAAUAGAACCUGAAACCGUGUGCGUACAAGCAGUAGGAGCUCCGCAAGGAGUGACUGCGUACCUUUUGUAUAAUGGGUCAGCGACUUACUGUUCGUGGCAAGCUUAACCGUAUAGGGGAGGCGAAGGGAAACCGAGUCUGAUAAGGGCGCAUAGUCGCGGGCAGUAGACCCGAAACCGGGUGAUCUAGUCAUGCCCAGGGUGAAGGUGCGGUAACACGCACUGGAGGCCCGAACCCACUCCCGUUGCAAAGGUAGGGGAUGAGGUGUGAUUAGGAGUGAAAAGCUAAUCGAACCCGGAGAUAGCUGGUUCUCCUCGAAAGCUAUUUAGGUAGCGCCUCAUAUGUAUCCUCUCGGGGGUAGAGCACUGUUAUGGCUAGGGGGUCAUCGCGACUUACCAAACCAUUGCAAACUCCGAAUACCGAGACGGACUGUAUGGGAGACACACGGCGGGUGCUAACGUCCGUCGUGAAAAGGGAAACAACCCAGACCCACAGCUAAGGUCCCAAAUUCAGUGCUAAGUGGAAAACCAUGUGGAAAGGCACAGACAGCCAGGAGGU
Molecule: ribosomal RNA, 780 nt
Filed under: Stenotrophomonas maltophilia
Lineage: Bacteria; Pseudomonadati; Pseudomonadota; Gammaproteobacteria; Lysobacterales; Lysobacteraceae
Description: bacterial LSU rRNA
Rfam family: Bacterial large subunit ribosomal RNA
Source: RNAcentral